Molecule: long non-coding RNA, 1163 nt
Filed under: Homo sapiens (human)
Lineage: Eukaryota; Metazoa; Chordata; Mammalia; Primates; Hominidae
Description: non-protein coding lnc-RNF114-2:3
Source: RNAcentral
AUGGAAACCGCUCAGGAGCAGGGAGCUGGGAGCUAUGAGUGCUGACUGCGUGAACUCGGCCUCCACUUCCCGGACCUGCCACUUAUCAUGAUCCACGAGCUGUACUCAUGACUCCGCACAAGCAAGCAGGGGCUGACGGUCGGAUCCCUCGCCCCCAUUUUACGGACAGAAGUACCGAGGCUCAAAGAGAGCCAGUGAGAUGCUGAAAUCACGCGUGAUUGGAAUCCAGCCUUGCUAGGGCUGCGGGUGUUACGGGCCGUGGGCGGCGGUUAAGAGCGUGGGUUCUAUUUUUAGUUUUGCCACUUACUAGCUGUGUGACCUUGGACAAGUUACCUAACCUCUCUGAGCCUCAGCUUUCUAACCUGUAAUAUUAAAUAAUAAAGCCAGGCGUGGUGGCACGCGACUGUAGUCCCAGCUAGUCGGGAGGCUGAGGCGAGAGGAUGGCUUGCUCCCAGGUGUUCGAGACCAACCUGGGCAACAUAACGAGGCCACGUCUCUUAAAAAAAAAAAAAAAAAAAAAAAAAAAAAAAAGCCGGGCACGGCGGCUCACGCCUGUAAUCCCAGCACUUUCGGAUAAACUAUAUAUAUAUAUAAUCUGACAUCCCCACCAGACCCUGAGCUUCUUAUUCAUCUAUUUCCCCCCGAGCUCUGCACAUGUCUGAUGAGGAGGCACACAACAGAUGUUCAUUGAUUGUAGGAUUCUCACUCUGAGUCUUGGUGACCCCAGCUAAAACCGGUGGGGCUUGUGUGAUGAGUCAGUGACACAAUACUGGGAAACGUUUGGAGAACCAGCAAUCUGCUGCUGUCCAAACAGUAGCAUUACUGUGUUUACCUGUCGUUGCCUGAGCACCGCUCAAAGUCCCUGUGUUCUUUAUCAGCUCAUGUUUAAGCUCCUCUCUUAAUUAUCUGCAAUGUGAUGAUGUUCACAGGAAUUCCAUCUGAGACAAACUGUCCCACCUUAAGUCUGCCUCUUACAGCAACUCAGCACUCUGGUUUGGUAGCUCUUACAAUAUUGCAUUUUCACGUGGGGCUGCUUAAAAAAGUCCCCUCCAGCUCUGUGGGUCUAUGACAGGCAAAAGAGAAACAAAGAUUUUGAAGAAGGGCUUUACCAGUAGGAAACCCUGGUCAUCAUCUACUAUCAGAAAAGACCCAAAGUCUCCAAA